This 465-nucleotide ribosomal RNA is filed under the name uncultured bacterium. RNAcentral's name for it is "bacterial SSU rRNA". It matches the Rfam family "Bacterial small subunit ribosomal RNA", at positions 25 to 518 of the family's 1533-position model. The record is from RNAcentral.
CAGGAUUAACGCUGGCGGCGUGCCUAAUACAUGCAAGUCGAAUGUAGCAAUACCAUGGCGAACGGGUGAGUAACACGUAGGUAACCUGUCUUUAAGCCGAGGAUAACCAUUGGAAACGAUGGAUAAUACUGGAUAGGACAUUUGAAGGCAUCUUUAGAUGUUUAAAGAUUUAUCACUUAGAGAGGGGCCUGCGGCGCAUUAGCUAGUUGGUGAGGUGAAGGCUUACCAAGGCGAUGAUGCGUAGCCGGACUGAGAGGUUGAACGGCCACAAUGGAACUGAGAACGGUCCAUACUCCUACGGGAGGCAGCAGUAGGGAAUUUUCGGCAAUGGGCGGAAGCCUGACCGAAGCAACGCCGCGUGAACGAAGAAGUAUUUCGGUAUGUAAAGUUCUUUUAUUAGGGACGAAAAGACAGAUUGACGGUACCUAAUGAAUAAGCUCCGGCUAACUACGUGCCAGCAGCAGC